Long non-coding RNA from Mizuhopecten yessoensis (Yesso scallop), 321 nucleotides. RefSeq lists it as uncharacterized. The record is from RefSeq and is a predicted model, not a curated record. Lineage: Eukaryota; Metazoa; Mollusca; Bivalvia; Pectinida; Pectinidae. The transcript is spliced from 3 exons.
GAUUAUAAACGAGGAAGUAACGUGACAAGGCGAAUAUGUGUUGUUUGUUUAAUCAGAACAUACACUUAUCUAUAGUUUUACUAUGGCUGCAACGGCUGUUGGAGAACUGCAACCCGGUAAAACAGGAUCAAUAUCACUACCGCCAAACUCUCUUAUCAAUGACCAAUUGCGAAGACUUGCUAUGGAAAUGAGAGUCAUUGUGAUCGGGAAGACAGGGUCUGGGAAAAGCUCUCCUGGGAACACUAGUUUAGGAGGAGCACCAUUCAUUUCGCAACCAGGAGGUACUUCCGGCACGAGAAACUGUUCUUUUUCUAGGGCAUG